GAUCAUGGCUCAGAUUGAACGCUGGCGGCAGGCCUAACACAUGCAAGUCGAACGGUAACAGGAAACAGCUUGCUGUUUCGCUGACGAGUGGCGGACGGGUGAGUAAUGUCUGGGAAACUGCCUGAUGGAGGGGGAUAACUACUGGAAACGGUAGCUAAUACCGCAUAACGUCGCAAGACCAAAGAGGGGGACCUUCGGGCCUCUUGCCAUCGGAUGUGCCCAGAUGGGAUUAGCUAGUAGGUGGGGUAACGGCUCACCUAGGCGACGAUCCCUAGCUGGUCUGAGAGGAUGACCAGCCACACUGGAACUGAGACACGGUCCAGACUCCUACGGGAGGCAGCAGUGGGGAAUAUUGCACAAUGGGCGCAAGCCUGAUGCAGCCACGCCGCCGUGUAUGAAGAAGGCCUUCGGGUUGUAAAGUACUUUCAGCGGGGAGGAAGGGAGUAAAGUUAAUACCUUUGCUCAUUGACGUUACCCGCAGAAGAAGCACCGGCUAACUCCGUGCCAGCCGCUGC
Molecule: ribosomal RNA, 515 nt
Filed under: uncultured bacterium
Lineage: Bacteria
Description: bacterial SSU rRNA
Rfam family: Bacterial small subunit ribosomal RNA
Source: RNAcentral